RNAcentral lists this ribosomal RNA (253 nucleotides) under uncultured bacterium. Its description in RNAcentral is "partial 16S ribosomal RNA". It matches the Rfam family "Bacterial small subunit ribosomal RNA", at positions 524 to 776 of the family's 1533-position model. The record is from RNAcentral.
UACAGAGGGUGCGAGCGUUGUCCGGAAUCACUGGGCGUAAAGGGCGCGUAGGUGGCGCCGCAAGUCCAUGGUGAAAGCUCGAUGCUCAACAUCGAGUCGGCCACGGAGACUGCGGGGCUCGAGCACUGUAGGGGCAGAUGGAAUUCCGGGUGUAGCGGUGGAAUGCGUAGAGAUCCGGAGGAACACCGAUGGCGAAGGCAGUUCUCUGGGCCGUAACUGACGCUGAGGAGCGAAAGCGUGGGGAGCGAACAGG